GAUGAACGCAAGCGGCAGGCCUAAUACAUGCAAGUCGAACGGUAACAUGAGUAGCAAUACUUGAUGACGAGUGGCGCACGGGUGCGUAACGCGUAUGCAAUCUACCUUUAACCGGUGAAUAGCCCGAAGAAAUUCGGAUUAAUACACCAUAGUAUGAUGAGGAGGCAUCUCCUUAUCAUUAAAGUUCCGACAGUUAAAGAUGAGCAUGCGUGACAUUAGUUAGUUGGUGAGGUAACGGCUCACCAAGGCCACGAUGUCUAGGGGAUCUGAGAGGAUUAACCCCCANACUGGUACUGAGACACGGACCCGACUCCUACGGGAGGCAGCAGUAAGGAAUAUUGGGUCAAUGGAGGGAACUCUGAACCAGCCAUGCCGCGUGAAGGAUGACGGCCUCUGGGUUGUAAACUGC
RNAcentral lists this ribosomal RNA (409 nucleotides) under uncultured bacterium. Its description in RNAcentral is "bacterial SSU rRNA". It matches the Rfam family "Bacterial small subunit ribosomal RNA", at positions 28 to 433 of the family's 1533-position model. The record is from RNAcentral.